AGGUGCUACUACACGUCCAGGGCGAGCGUGCCGGUACCUGUACUGUUAUGUCUGUCUCCUCUCUGCCGGAAUGGAAGCAACUCCUGCUGGAGAAAAAGAGGCGCGAGGAGGAGGAGCGGGGCAGGAGAGAGAAGGAGGAGGAGGAGAAGCUGGCCAGCAUGCCCGCCUGGAAGCGAGGGAUCAUCCAGCGGCGGAAGGCGAAGCAGGAGACGCUGGGCGACAGGGAGAAAGAAAGAGACGCGUGUGUGCUGCAAGUGGAGGCCAGGUCGUCUGCAGACGCUCUGAGUGACACAGACAGCUCUGUUACCAUAAACCUGGGAAGUGAACUGUCACUGAGUCCGGAUCCUGCGCUGUGGCUCGAUGCGGACCUGAAAGCACUGAGUCAGGUGUCCCUGGAAACCAUCGUCCCACUCCACGAAAACCCCUUCAUCCGCACGCAGAGCGCGUGGAGGAGGAGCAAAGACGCAGACGCAGGGAGCGAGGCUGAGGGCAACGAGAGGGAGAAGGACAAGUCCAGCCCCAGGGGCCAAGAUGGGGAGUCAGGGAGAGGACGAGAGAUAGAGCUGAAAAUAGAGAGAUUCAGGGAUUUAAGUGAGGGGCGAGAAAUAGACAGAAGCAGGGACAGGAGUCAAGGAAGAGAAAGAGAAAGCAGCAGAGAGGGAUGGGAGAAAGAGAAAAGUCAGUGGAAGGAGAUGGUUAAAGAUGCCACAAGGGAGAGAGAAGUCCUGAAAGUAAGAAUAGAAGAGGAGGAAAAAGAAACGGAUCCCCCAUCUGGUUCGGCCCACGUGCCAUGUAUGCGGACCAUCCGAGCCGACAACAUCAUUAUCAUUGAGCAGGACAGGACGGGCGGCGACGAGAGGAGAGGGAGAUGGAGAGAAGCGGAAAGAGAGACGCCCGACGAGGACCCCCGGGAGAAGAGGGGCAUGAAAAUGGAUCUGAGGGAGAUCCUGGCUGGAGGCGGCAGCGUCACCGAGAUCCGGGCGUCGGAGGUUCUGAUCAUAAAGCCUCCUGUGAACCCGGAGGAGAAGAAUUCCGCCAGCAAAGGCAGGGAGAACGGAGAGGGCAGCGUAGACGUGCGGAGGGAGAGCACGAACAGGGACUUCAGGACAGACGUGUCCUGGCUGCGAGACAAGGAGAAGGAGAGGCCGUGGGGCCAGGCCACCGUCAUCAAAGAGGACAAAAAGGACAGUUUGGACGAUAACGUGUUUGUCGAGAGGGGGGGGAGGGUCAGUCAGCUGCUGAGUAAAUUCGGGGAGCACCCCAAGCCUCCAUCUCGAUCCAAAAGCUCUGACAACUUCCUCCGGCCUGGGAGGAGGAAAUACUCAGGCGACGAGGACGAGCAGCAGUCUGAGGAGAGGAAGGCAGACGGGAGGAGUCUGGGGUGGAAGGGCGUCCCCAAGCGCUCCUUCAGCUUCUCGGACCGAGCCCUGUCCGCCGAGGAGAAUGGCCUGGAUGAGGAGGGCUCCCACCAGAGGAGGACCCGCCAGAGAAUACAUUCAGACAAGGGGUCACAGGAGGAGACCCGGGAGGGGAUUAAACUGCUGUAUGCACAAGAUGCAGAUCGGUUGGGAAAGCACAGACCCGUGAGGGGGGAACCUGUGCAGAGGAGUGUCUCGGUCCAGCACAGGCAAGACAAGCGGGCUGCAGAGAAGCCCGGGGAUGCGGACGGGGACCAGGGGUUCACGGUGGCGUCGGUCAGAAACACGGAGGGAAUCUCGUUCGCCCGGAGGGUCCCGAUCAGACAGGAGGGGCGAGCGAAAAGCGAGAGAGAGCCGAGGAGGCCGACGGGCGAGAGGAGCUCGGGGAGGGAGCUGAGCAAAGACGCAGAACCGGGAGGGAAGGCGGAGGCGCAGCUUUGCAACAAGGGGCGCGAGGAGGGGGGGUUUGAGGAGGGGUCGUCAUCGCUGGACGCAGUCGGUGCCUGUCCGGCGGCAGACGCCUCCUACAAACACGAGUCCGCCUUCGCGGAGAGCUCCAGCCUGCUGUGCACAGUCACAGACAGGGCCAGAGAGUGGAGCGCCGCCGGCCCACAAGCGCCCUACUCCUCCGUCCUGUCCCAGCAAACGGAGGACCUCAUCAGUAAGAUCGAGAAAAUAGGAGAGACGACGGUUUACAGCAAUGAAAAGGGCGAGAGAGCGUACGAGGCCGCAGCGGAGGCCAGGCUGGAGGAGUACAGCUCCGCUGCUUCAGACGGCCUCAACCGGGAUGGACCCGCGAGGUCUCCAAGGAAGAUAACGCCCACAAGCCCCCUUGAGAUCCAGAUCCCCAGGACGGUGUUUUAUGUCGCAGAAGAAACGGUGGAGAGAAAAACGGCUGCGUGUCACAGCGUGGAGGGGCAGCGCUGGGAAGGGGGGAGAGGGGUCGAGAAGAGGGACAGCUGGAGGGUCGGGAAACCCCUGAGCCGCAUCGAGUCCCUGCGAGAGCAGAUCAGGCAGAGGGAGCUGGAGAGGCUGAGGCAACGACGCGGGGACGGGGGCGAGGCCGCGGAGCGCGGAGGGGACCCGUACGACGAGAGGGGGGCCGAGGGGGAGACGGGGCGGGAGGCUCACAGGAAGAGGCCGGGCGAAGCAGAGGCGGCGCGGGAGGACGCUGGCGCGGCUGCGUUUGACGUCACGCAGGAAGCCGGCGUGUCGAAAACCUGCCCUCAGCUUCCUGUUUCUGUGUCACAGUCGCGAGCCGUCGCGGGAGAGGAAGCGACGAGUCGGUGCGCGGCCGCAGCCCUCGACCUGAGCUCCGGCAGCUCCCAGGCAUCCCAGGAUGAAGACGAGCCGCUGCAGCAUGAGGAGCAGCUGAGGAGCCACAGGGAGGACGACAGAGCGGAGGAAGCGCCCACGGGGGAGGAGGCCGAGGAGUCGGCGGCACCCGCGAGUCCUGCGCGCUCCCCCCCCUCGUCGCCGCCUCACAACUCGCUCGCGGCCAUGAGCCGAAUCUACAAGCUGGAGAACGUGGGCUCCAGGUCCGCUUUGUGUCUGAGGGACAGGAAAGCGGACGCGCCGACGGUGCACCUCGCUAGAGUGAGGCCUUUGGCCUCGAACGCAGCGCAGGGAGACGGCGAGGCCCCGGCGGGGGAGGACCUGUGCGGCGUUCAGACGAUACAGCGGCAGAUCGAGCAGUUCCAGCUGAAGGAGCAGCAAAGCCCCCGGGGAGGGUCAAAGCCGCGGGGAAAGGACGGCGAGCAGGAAACCGCGGAGCCGGUGCCCAAGAUGUCUCCCCAGCGUGCGUGUUCUCCAACGCCCCACAACAAACAGACCAUCACCAUCACGGCGUCGUUCCUCAGAGGCCGCCCUCAGGACGGCUCCCUGAAACCCACCGACUGCGCCCCGACCCCCAGCUCCUCCCCGAGCUCCCCGUCCCCCGCUCCGUCCCCCAGCGCCUCCCCGUCCCCCACGCCGUCGCCCGUCCCCUUCUCCAUCAGGAGCGCCUCCGGGGGGCAGGUGAAGAGAGGCGCCACCAUAACCAUCACCCCACGGAAACCCGCCAGCGCCGGGCCCGCGGCGCCGUCCGUCACCGCCGGGCCCGUGCCGGCAAAGGCCCCGCCGCCGCAGACCCAGACGCCCCCCGUCAUGGCCGACGCCAGGAAGAGGUACCCCACGGUGGAGGAGAUCGAGGUGAUCGGUGGAUACCAGAACCUGGAGAAGUCCUGUUUGGUCAAGAACAGAGUGACCCCGAAGAAGGUGAACGUGUGCUUUGACGAUGAGCAGCUGGAGCAGGUGUGCGAGUACCCGUCGGAGACCUCCAUGCUGGGCUGCAGCCCGUACCCCCCGGACCCGGCGAGGGCAGAGCGGCCGCAGGGAGGCGACGCGCAGGAAGAGGAGGGCGAGGCGGAGGCCGAGGCCGCGGCCGUGAUGUCCAAGAGCAGCAGGAGCGCCGGGAUGUCAUCACGGGGUCUGAGAACCAUUCUUGCCCAAUAUAGAAGCCAGUCACCGUCGCCACAAUUGCCCAUGUGA
Molecule: long non-coding RNA, 3947 nt
Organism: Betta splendens (Siamese fighting fish)
Lineage: Eukaryota; Metazoa; Chordata; Actinopteri; Anabantiformes; Osphronemidae
Source: Ensembl